CAUAAACACAAGAGCUAAAAAUCCUUCGUUAUUGCAUUGGGUUGGUCCUCCAUAACUAUUUAGGGUCAUAGAGCAAGUUAAAGGGAAAACUUGAAUAGGAGCACAGUUCUCUUGUAAACCACACCACCUUCUCCAAUUUACUGCCUGUCUUCACAAUCUCUCUUGUUCCCAUGGCUCCAUUAGUCAUUACAAUGAAUUUUAAUUAAAAACUCUCUCAGAUGUUCUUUGUAAUCAAAAACAUCCCAUUACAAUACAUCUUACUCUUUAUGACUAAGGUAACUUUUUGCAAUUUUUUUCCCUAUCUCUGCACUAAGGUAAGAGUAUGAGAUGAGGUAGGGAUAGGAGGAAAAUUCAAACAUUAUACAUUAUUUUCUUUUAUGAUAUAUAUAAUAUAUAUAUCAUUUAUUUCUAUUAUAUUUUUUAAUCUACUGCAAUAAACAUCCCCCUGUACAGGCUCUGAAAAUUACUGAAAAUGUAUCAGGAGAGUUUAACCUUGCAUCCACUACAUUUUCUCAUAUUGCUGUGGUCUUGAGAAUGAAAUGAUCCAUUAUAAUGUUUGAAUUUGAAAUGCAUUGACAUCUGGCUGAGAGACCCAUGGCAAAUUUUUUAAACACUUUGAACAUUAUAUUUUUGACAAUAGGGUAAUAAUAUAAAUUCCAUAAUGUUCCUUUAAAGGUUAAAUAAGUUCCACUAUUGAAAUGUUUCUUUUUCUUCCGAGUGUUAGUUUUCUUAUAUUGUAAACAGAAAUGGCUGAACUGCAUUCGUACUAAAAUUUCUUUCAUCUUCACAUUUCUACAGGAAUAAUUCUAUAAUAGCAAUAAUUCAGUAAUUCUAUAGGAAGAAGGGUUGAUACCUCCACUGGGAUUGAUAGAGGUCUACUAGAAAGUCCUUUGACCAUAACAAGUGGUCUAAAUCUGUGUUCUUACAGAAUCUAGACAAUGUCAAAAUAGAGAUUAGGGCUUUCAAGAGAAGUAUGUGAUAGCCUUUUUUUUUCUCUGCAGAAAAUUAUUUGGCCAGUUACAUCUCUGGAAGGAUACAAAUCACAUUAUCUGUUGUGUCCAGAAAUACACUAAACUUUUGUUACAUAACAGAAAUUCCUACAUUUUUAUUUGUAAAACCCAAAACCUUACUUUGUUUCAUCCAAACUUAAUGUCUUUUUCUUUAAUGUGUAUCAACCAUUUCUAUAUAUUCAUGACUUUUUUUCUGCUCUGCUCACUUUCAUUUUUUUUGCUCACUUUCAAAUUCUUUGAGUAUCUGUACACUAUUCACAGAACCCCAAUCUCAAGAAUUUGAGUGAUUUGUCUUCCUUCUAACUUAACCUUUUAUAGCCCAAUCAUAUCUUAAGUAUUUGAAAAGGUUCCAGAAAAUAAAAUCUCAAAAGGUUAUGAUUUAAAGUAAUGAAAAUUUUCUUUGCAUAUGAUACUUCAUUCCUGUUAAAUCCCCUAAAAAUAGUUUGCUGUUUUCUGUCAACUGUAUUUUGCCUGAAAGGGAGGAAGUAAUUACUAAGAACAGGAUUAGGCUGGUUUGGGAAAUACUUUCAUGGCACCCUGUAAGCAUUUUAGUCGACUUUGAAACUAUGGCUAAAACAAAGUAAUUUUAUUUCCCUUCCUGAUUUUGUAGCUUUCUUGCUCCCUGAGAAUUAUAACAUAGUGACUUGGUGUUGCUUGCAAGAAUAUUGGAUUUCACUGGGUGCCAGAUCAUACCGUCUUUUUAAAUCAUGUUCCUUUCAUAGAUAAUUUGCCCCACUGUAAAAUCAUUAAGGAUAUUCAUUAAGUAUGCCACUCUUUUGUAGAGGAUCAAUAUAUCUAAAAUAAAAGGCACAGUUGUUUGCAUUUAGUUUCAGUCAUGUUUUCUUUUAGGCUUUCAGUAUUUUGUUUUUAAUACGCCAGAGUAGCUCCUCAUGUAAUGAGAUGGCACCUUGUGUAAUGAGCUACUGUUUAUUGUUAUUCCUGGCAACAGACCAUACGAGGGCAAGGCCUGUUAAAUACAAGUGCGCACCGGAGAUGCUCUUUCAACCUGCAGUGAGGGCCUGUAUGAGCAGAGGAAGGACAAUAUUUUUCCUUCUGUUUAGUCUCCAGGCAGAUUACAGAUGUCUCCAGCCUUUCUGUCUAGAGGCCUGGAUCUGCUAUGCUUGGAUAUUUCAUGUUAUCAAUCAAAGAAAAAUAGGAAUUAUUGCUAUUUCACAAUUUAACAGGAUAUUUUAAAAAAGCCUUGGAAUUAUCUGCCUUCCUUUAUCAUUAAAUGUCUACAAAGAGGUGUACACAAUCUUCACCGGACUCAUGAGGACAGAGGUACACACAUUCAUUUUGGGGAUUAAUCAGUAAGAGGCUGGAAUUAUUUGAGCUUGCUUCAGAUGAAAUUUGUAUCUCUAACCCCGGUACAUUAAGAUAAAAAAAAAAGAGAAAAAGUAAUAGAUUAAUGCAUUUAAAUUACUACAAUGGAAUGUCUAAGAAAAGGCAAGAAGUAGGUGAAGAAAAGCCUCUGUAAAGCUUAGAAAAUGAUUUGCACAUCGAUGACAGAAUUAAAGUAACUCAGUUCUGUUUUUCAUGUUUGUAAGAUCUGUUCUACCAGUGCUCACUUUGAAUCUUCUGUCUAAACACAGGAAUAUGUCAGAGCACUGGGGUGCUCCAGUCAUACUGAGAACAGCCACCAAAAUUGACAGGUACUUAUUUACCUAAGGAAGCAAUUAAAUAGAAACAUGAUCUCAUAUAUGAGAUUUAAAAGUAUGGUUAAGCAAGAAGAAACUAUUCACUAGUUCUUUACAACUCUAUGGAUGAUCUUUCUGUUCUCUUUUUAGCUAAGCAAAGUGUUUCAAACUUCACAAAGAAAGAGAAGAGCUUAUCUUGUUAAACCGUCUUUGAGAACUGUACUUGUCAGUGAUGUGAGUGGAUGAGUGUGAAUCUUCUGAAAUUGUUUUGUGAGAUCUGCAUACAGAAAAUCUCUCUUGGGAGCCUACUGAUGAUAUCAAACUACACACUUAAGCCCUUUCAGCUCUAGAAGAGUUCAUUUACUUUUAGGUUUGUUAAUUGAUGCAUUUUUGCAAGAUUGUCAGACUGUCCCAACUAUUCCAAAGAAAAUCUCUUUUUUGCUCAUGAGAGUCUUAAGAAUGAGUUCAAUAUCUCAUCCAUAAAAUGACUAUUUUAUUCUUAUCCAUAUUUAUUAUCUGCCCUUUGUACAUUUUAUCACUCUAAAACAUUUUGCUAGCAUGAUCUCAUUUAUCAUUUAUUGCCUCUCUUAUCUUUUGCUACUGGCAGGACACUCAGUGAAUUGUGUACCUUUUCAAAGUAACACAUGCUCCAUGAGGCAAAGUGCCAAAUAUCACUCCCCAGGUUACCUCCUCUUUCUCAAAAUAUUGAUUUUCUUCUCUGAGGUUGAUCCAAGAGUCCCAUGAUAUUGGUGGCUGUCUACUGAUCUCCCCAAUGAGGGGCAGGCCCCCUAGGGUUCUAGUCAUGGCAAGCUGUCAUGGCUUUAAAAACUGGCAAGCACUCUGUCAGGAAAGACAGAUUAAAGUGUAACCUUGCUGUUUCAUACUUCACUGCUAAUAUCAUGACCAUCUAUUAAAAGUGCUUUCUUUGGAGGCAUAGAUUGCUGUUUCUUCUAUAAUAUCACCUGUGUGUUGUUUAAAAAUCUUGUGGUGUGGAAAAUUGCACACAAAAUAGUAGAACUUAUAGGAAAAAAUAUGAUGAGAAGAUCUAUGCAACUUUGUAGUGAGAACACUAAGAAGUAAUUUUUUAACAAAAUCAAAAGAAACAAGACACUGCUACACUUAAAAACAUAUUAAGUUACUAAUAACCUUCCUGUUAAAGCAAUAACCAUUUAAUGAUAGUUUUGAUGGAAAGUGUGGAAGGAGAGGAUUGCAAUAACUGAGUUAUUUAGACAAAAAAAACUCCAAUAAACACUUCUGGAAUAGAAUAUAUGGCAGAAGAAAGAAUGGCAGGUGACUGGCAUCUUAGAUAGCAGGUAUACAUCCAUUAGUUACAAUAAGCAGUAUACUCAUUAUAGUUACAGUUACUAUCAGCAGUACAGUAGUCUAAUAUGGGUUCAGCUGCCCUUUCAACAGGGAAAAAUAUGAAUGAGUUAAGUAAAAUAACAAAGAACCAACACAGUUUUCAUUCCUUAAGUGUUGAAACUUACAGUUUUCCCUAAUGAACCAGAGAAUGGUAAAUGGCCUUACCUUCUCAUCCACGAGUCCCCCAAAACAGAGUUGUAUUGUCAGGAGUUACCAUUAUUAGGGUAAGGAGACUAUAAUAUGUACAAGUACCAAUUCUCAAAAAGUUAACAAGAAACAAACACUUGUAAGAACUGAAAUUUUAAGUUUUUAAAUUCAUGUAUAUUAAUUUUUUUAACAUUUUAUAUUAUCUCAUAUUCAGCUCAUUGUAUUUUCAAUUUAAAGAACGGUGACUAUGAGAUAUUUCUAAAUUUUAGCAGGAGUGCCAAUGGUCAGGAUUAUUAAAAAUGAUUUUAUAACAAAUGUAUGAUGUUUGAAAUUACGUAUUAUUACACUGUUGAUGUUUUUAUUUUACUUUCCUCUUUUUUUGGUCCCUUGAAAUAUUUGCUAUGUUCUUUUAUAAUAGAAAAUAAAUAUUUGGAAGGUCAGAUUUCAGUAAUUGGUAUUCCUAAUUGAGAAAUUUUGUGGGCCAAUAACAAUGUGCUGAUUUUUAAAAAAAAUUUUAAUGUUUAUUUAUUUUUGAGAGAGAAAGAGCACGA
This is a long non-coding RNA of Felis catus (domestic cat), 4707 nucleotides long. RefSeq lists it as uncharacterized. NCBI's taxonomy places the organism in Eukaryota, Metazoa, Chordata, Mammalia, Carnivora, Felidae. The transcript has 3 exons. The record is from RefSeq and is a predicted model, not a curated record.